This 414-nucleotide ribosomal RNA is filed under the name Champsocephalus gunnari (mackerel icefish). RNAcentral's name for it is "partial 12S ribosomal RNA". It matches the Rfam family "Bacterial small subunit ribosomal RNA", at positions 7 to 770 of the family's 1533-position model. Lineage: Eukaryota; Metazoa; Chordata; Actinopteri; Perciformes; Channichthyidae. The record is from RNAcentral.
CAAAGGCUUGGUCCUGACUUUAUUAUCAGCUUUAGCCAAACUUACACAUGCAAGUAUCCGCCCCCCUGUGAGAAUGCCCUCAGUUCCCUGCCCGGGAACAAGGAGCCGGUAUCAGGCACAAUUUUAGCCCAUGACACCUUGUUUAGCCACACCCCCAAGGGAACUCAGCAGUGAUAGAUUUUAAGCCAUAAGUGAAAGCUUGACUUAGUAAAAGCUAAGAGGGCCGGUAAAACUCGUGCCAGCCACCGCGGUUAUACGAGAGGCCCAAGUUGAUUAUCUGCGGCGUAAAGAGUGGUUAAGGUAAGUAGGUACUAAAGCCGAAUGUUUUAAAAGCUGUUAUACGCAUCCAAAAACAAGAAGUCCAGACACGAAAGUUGCUUUAACAAGCCCUGAACCACGAAAGCUAGGGAACAU